AUGGAAGAGGAGCCUGCAGCCCGGCUGAGGACGCGGCGCCGGUCGGGUCCAUGUGCUCAGGUGGGUUCUUUGGAGAACAAGCACGAGACAGACAGCGGUGACCGUGAGGUAAGAGCGUCUACAACCUGUGCUCCACACGUGGGUCUGUCAGCCACAGCCUGCAGCAGUGACGAAGCCGGUCCAGCGGGUGCAGGUCCUCCUGCUCCUCCUGGUGCAGGUCCUCCUGCUCCUGGUGCAGGUCCUCCUGCUCCUCCUGGUGCAGGUCCUCCUGCUCCUGGUGCAGGUCCUCCUGCUCCUCCUGGGCCCAGGUCCUCCUGCUCCUCCUGGGCCCAGGUCCUCCUGCUCCUCCUGGGCCCAGGUCCUCCUGCUCCUCCUGGUGCAGGUCCUCCUGCUCCUCCUGGUCCAGGUCCUCCUGCUCCUCCUGGGUGCAGGUCCUCCUGCUCCUGGGUGCAGGUCCUCCUGCUCCUGGGUGCAGGUCCUCCCGCUCCUCCUGGGCCCAGGUCCUCCUGCUCCUCCUGGGCCCAGGUCCUCCUGCUCCUCCUGGGUCCAGGUCCUCCUGCUCCUGGUGCAGGUCCUCCUGCUCCUCCUGGUGCAGGUCCUCCUGCUCCUCCUGGGUCCAGGUCCUCCUGCUCCUCCUGGUGCAGGUCCUCCUGCUCCUCCUGGUGCAGGUCCUCCUGCUCCUGGUGCAGGUCCUCCUGCUCCUCCUGGUGCAGGUCCUCCUGCUCCUCCUGGUGCAGGUCCUGCUGCUCCUGGGUGCAGGUCCUCCUGCUCCUCCUGGUGCAGGUCCUCCUGCUCCUCCUGGGCCCAGGUCCUCCUGCUCCUCCUGGGUCCAGGUCCUCCUGCUCCUGAUGCAGGUCCUCCUGCUCCUCCUGGUGCAGGUCCUCCUGCUCCUGGUGCAGGUCCUCCUGCUCUUCCUGGGUCCAGGUCCUCCUGCUCCUCCUGGUGCAGGUCCUCCUGCUCCUCCUGGUCCAGGUCCUCCUGCUCCUCCUGGUGCAGGUCCUCCCAGUUAGCGGUUCAGUGCGGAGCCUCGGCGCCUCAGGCUGAUGGGAAAGAAUGAGAGGAAUCUGCAUGUGAUGGAGCCCCGCGUCCUCUCAGGUGGCGGCUGUCGGCUGCUCAGUAGGCAGUGUAGAUCCUGUGUAGAAAUCAGCAGCUACAUCUGGCUACUGGGUCUCUGACGGUGCGGCCGGGUCCGGCUGGGCCCCACACCGGAUGCUCUGUCUCUCUGUUGCGUUGCUUUGUCCUGAACCUGGCAUACAAUGUAGAUUUCUGUGUGCUUUAGUUUACAGCUACAUUGUCUGCUGGGUUUCUGGCCAGCAAAACGAGCCGGCGCCGCAGGAGCUCCACGUCCAAGUCCCGACCCGGCAGUUCAAUGACAGCAAAAGCUGUCAAUCGACUCCACCGGUCACAUGAAUCACAUGUGAAGGAAAGAGGCAAAAGAGAAUGUGCCAAAUGUAAGUUGCUUCAGCGCUGCCUGAGCGUCCAGGAGUUAACGCUGCUGCAGGAGCUGUCAGCCUCCGUCUGGGAUCCUCCACCACACGGAGCGACGCCGGCCUCUGGGCCCUUUACACAAUAAACAAGGGUCUCAGUGGAGGGAGCA
This 1597-nucleotide long non-coding RNA is filed under the name Betta splendens (Siamese fighting fish). RNAcentral's name for it is "lncRNA (ENSBSLG00000016974.1)". The stretch from base 1235 to 1318 matches the Rfam family "mir-221 microRNA precursor family". Lineage: Eukaryota; Metazoa; Chordata; Actinopteri; Anabantiformes; Osphronemidae. The record is from RNAcentral.